RNAcentral lists this long non-coding RNA (479 nucleotides) under Glycine max (soybean). RNAcentral describes it as "long non-coding RNA (GMAX_LNC001907)". Lineage: Eukaryota; Viridiplantae; Streptophyta; Magnoliopsida; Fabales; Fabaceae. The record is from RNAcentral.
AUACAAUAUUCUCAUUAUGACCAACAAUGAUAUCAAGUGUGCUUCAUGGAAGACAAACAACAUUCUCAGAUCGAAUGCUUUGUAGAACCUAAACAACACCCAAAGCCAAAAAUCAAAUCAUGCAUCUUGUAGCCAGAUCAACAGUGUGUUCCCCAUUCCUGUCAAGUUGCAAGACAAACGUAAUGGUCAUUGUGCCAUUUGCAAACAUCAAUCAACUUUGAAUUUAAACAACGUUCAAACACCAGCUAAUUAAAAACAAAUUUGACAUCAAUUUCAACUCAUUAAUCCAUUCAAGUAUUUCUCCACUAACCCCUUUAUACCUUGGGGUGUGCUAGAUAGCCGGUGAACCUAGAGGGCCUCGAAAUGCUCCCAUGUCGUCGUUUGGUGCUGUGCCGCUAUGAUUUGCUUGUGGUCGCAACGUGGUUUGGUGAUGGUCCUUCUGCUGCGUCAACAAUCACUUCACAAAGAUCCUCCACAUA